RNAcentral lists this ribosomal RNA (397 nucleotides) under uncultured bacterium. RNAcentral describes it as "partial 16S ribosomal RNA". It matches the Rfam family "Bacterial small subunit ribosomal RNA", at positions 523 to 918 of the family's 1533-position model. The record is from RNAcentral.
AUACGUAGGGGGCGAGCGUUGUCCGGAAUGACUGGGCGUAAAGGGCGCGUAGGCGGUUGUUUAAGUUAGGAGUGUAAGUCCAGCUUUUAAGGUUGGAAUAGCUUUUAAUACUGGAUGACUUGAGUGCGGAAGAGGUAAGUGGAAUUCCCAGUGUAGCGGUGAAAUGCGUAGAGAUUGGGAGGAACACCAGUGGCGAAGGCGACUUACUGGGCCGUAACUGACGCUGAGGCGCGAAAGCGUGGGGAGCGAACAGGAUUAGAUACCCUGGUAGUCCACGCGGUAAACGAUGAAUGCCAGGUGUAGGGGGUAUCGACCCCUUCUGUGCCGCAGUCAACACAAUAAGCAUUCCGCCUGGGGAGUACGGCCGCAAGGUUGAAACUCAAAGGAAUUGACGGGG